CCUACGGGAGGCAGCAGUGGGGAAUAUUGCACAAUGGGCGAAAGCCUGAUGCAGCAACGCCGCGUGAAGGAAGAAGGGUUUCGGCUCGUAAACUUCUAUCAACAGGGACGAAAGAAAUGACGGGAGCUGAAUAAGAAGCCUGGGCUAACUACGGGCCAGCAGCCGCGGUAAUACGUAGGGGGCAAGCGUUAUCAGGAAUUACGGGGUGUAAAGGGUGAGUAGGCGGCAUGGUAAGGCAGAUGGGAAAGCCUUGGGCUUAACCCGAGGAUUGCAUUUGGAACUAUCAAGCUAGAGUUCAGGAGAGGACAGCGGACUUCCUCGUGUAGCGGUGAAAUGCGUCGAUCUUAGGCAGACCCCCAGUGGCGACGGCGGCUUUCUGGACUGUACCUGACGCUGAGGCACGACAGCGUG
This 411-nucleotide ribosomal RNA is filed under the name uncultured bacterium. RNAcentral's name for it is "partial 16S ribosomal RNA". It matches the Rfam family "Bacterial small subunit ribosomal RNA", at positions 338 to 763 of the family's 1533-position model. The record is from RNAcentral.